Non-coding RNA from Vicugna pacos (alpaca), 128 nucleotides. The record is from RefSeq and is a predicted model, not a curated record. NCBI's taxonomy places the organism in Eukaryota, Metazoa, Chordata, Mammalia, Artiodactyla, Camelidae.
GUCUGGACUUCAGACGUAGUAUCUGUUCUUACCAGUUUAAUAUCUGAUACGUCCUCUAUGCGAGGACAAUGUAUUAAAUGGAUUUUUGGAGCAGGGAGUUGGAAUAGGAGCUCGGAAGAGAGUCGUGU